Molecule: RNA transcript, 2171 nt
Organism: Panicum virgatum (switchgrass)
Lineage: Eukaryota; Viridiplantae; Streptophyta; Magnoliopsida; Poales; Poaceae
Gene name: F-box protein At2g40910-like
Exons: 3
Source: RefSeq, a predicted model, not a curated record
CCGGCCGCCGCAACGGCUUGUUCUCGCGGCUUUCCCCGAUCGUCGCCGGCGGCCGGCGGGGAGCACCCUCCCCCGCGGCGCUCCUAGCUGAGCUUAGCGAGAGAGCGCAGCGGCGUGGGGCCGUCCAGGUGGAGGGACCGGGCGUCGGCGCUCCCCAUCGUCCCCGGCGGCCGGGGCAUGGACAGCCCCAGGAGGAGCGCGGCCGCGGCGGCCUUGCUGCCCGACGACGCCAUCGUGGAGAUCCUCUCCCGCGUCCCCGCCAAAUCCCUCUGCCGGUUCAAGUGCGUCUCCAAGGCCUGGCGCGACCUCAUCGCCGAUCGGCAUCACCGCAAGAAGCUUCCCCAAACCCUCGAGGGCUUCUUCUACGCCUACGACGGCGACGGCGACGACGACGAGAUGCCCUGUGGCAACCCGGGCGAUGGCGGCGGCGAGGGGGAUCACGUCGUCCACGGGCGCUUCAUCAACACGCUUGGUAGAUCCGUGCCCCUCGCGUCUUUCUCCUUCCUGAGGGAGCAGCCGGGGAUUGAGGAGCUCGGUCUCUUGCAUUCCUGCAACGGCCUCAUCCUCUUCGGGCACAGAAGGGCUGGGGACACCUACGAAUCACUGGGCUUUAUCGUGUGCAAUCCUGCCACUGAGCAAUGGUUGGCCGUGCCCAACUCCGGCUGGAACCCUAGUUUGUUUCACCUAUGGGAUGAGAGCGAGGAUUCGGACUCCAACUCCGACGGUGAUCCUAGCUGCAGGUUCACCUAUUUGAUUUUCGAUCCUGCUGUGUCCUCGCACUUUCAGUUGGUCCAGUUCUGGACGUACGAUGAGAUAUUCGCGGAACAGGUGCGCACCUACUCGUCUGAAACUGGGGUAUGGUCCGUGAGGACAAGUGAGUGGAGUGAAGAUGAUGCCUUAUCUUUCUUCGCAAGAUGCGCCUUCGUUAAUGGCAUGCUGCAUUUCAGUGUCUUCCAAUUUGAUGGUAUAGAGCAGGAGCUAAUAGUUGCACUUGAUGGGGAAGGGAAGAAGUGUAGGAUCAUCAACGGGCUGGAGAAUUCUGGUGAUGCUGUUUUUGUUGGUCAAUCCCAAGGACAGUUGCAUUAUAUGAGUCAACAUAGAGAUGACACUCGUCAGAUGACUGAACUGUCCAUUUGGGUUCUUCAAGACUAUGAUACAGAAGAAUGGGUUCUGAAGCACAGUGUCCCGUUUUUGCAGCUGUUUGGAAGAAUGAAUUGCCAUGCUGAAAAUGACUACAAUGUUGUUGCCAUUCACCCGGACCACAAUAUGAUCUACUUUUUUCAGGACUGGGACCUGAAACUGAAAUCAUAUGACAUGGAUAGCAAGGAAGUGCGCACUCUCCGCACUCUAGGGGUUGGCCGUCAGAAUAUUUUACCAUAUGUUCCCUAUUUCAAGGAGUCACCGGUACUUGCUAGUAAGCACUGAAAUUGUGCCUUGUGAGGUACUAGUCAAAUUUGAUGUUCCAAGUAAUGUGUUUCAGCACAGGAGCAUCUAGCGACAUAAAUAUAUCUGUAGAAUUAGGUUGUAAGCUAUGAUUUCAACGAGGUGCGGUUUGCGCAAUUGCACAGAACAGCACUCGGAUUCCCGGAAGGAAGAUUUUUCUUCUCAGGUACGCCAGCAAGACCUGCCACAAGGGAGGCUGCUCUGGAAGGUGAAGCCGCUGUCAGGGCUGAGUUCCUGGAAGAUCCAUAUGGAUGCCUAGGCUCUCUCCACAUGAAGAGGCUGAAGAGGGAUCCAUUUCAUCGUACCAUUCCGUACCCUGAUGGUUGCCCUGAGUUGAAGAGCCUGUUCUCCUAUUGUCGCUCAGUGCCUUUCUCCGGGCACCUCCCUUGGACAGAAUAGUUACAUGAAGGAUCAGACAGACUCUUGCCUGCCUCUGCAGAAAUCCAAUUCCAAUAUACUUGCAAUGACCAUGUUCUGAACUGACGGGGAAGAGAAUAUUUACACUAGUGACAAUUGAUUUUGCAAGGUAGAAGCAAUGCCUACAUGGUCGAUUUUCCUCUUCUUUUUUUUUCUUCUUCCUUUCCUGCCAGCCUCCUCGCCUGGGGGGCACGUGUUAUGUAGAAAGAACUUUCCUUGUAGCUGAACCUGCUCCUGUUGUGAUAAUCUAGGUACACCAUGAACAUUGGUACUAAUUGAUAUCCUGCUGUUUUUGCACUACUGAUCCUUCA